ACUUCUGCUAAGGCUCUGCACUGUGGGAAUGUUGCAGCACAGCUUCAUCCUUGUGUUCCCCAACUCUUGAGAUGAUUUAAAAAUGCUGCUGUCAGAGACUCCACUGACAUUGCUGCAUUGGAGCCCCAGCUUUGUAGAAAAUGUUGCUGUCGAUCCUUUGCUAUGGAAGUUUUCAUUGGCUCCUUUCUUGUAGAUCUUUAACAAUCUGUCAUCCAGCACAUAUAAAUAGAUCUAGAAGAAAUAAAAGAUGGCUGAUUUUUAGUCAGCAUUGUAAUCAUUUCUUUCUAAAUUGCAAAUCCACCAGGCAAGAUCCUUAGAACCAACACUUAGUUUCUACUUCAUGGAAGUCUGCAAUUCAGGGCAAGAGCUAAGAGUACCUGGUACACCGAGUUCCAUUUUCUCCAACCCAGUGCACAGGUGCACACACACCUGCCUUUUGACAAGCUGCUUCUAAAAGAUAUGACAAGCAUCAUCUGAGGGGAUUCUGGGACACAUAGACCAAGGUCAAAUACACAUUGACCCCCAAGUUCUGACCAUUUCUCAACUGGAGCGUUGGUGGUCUGGGACACCAAGGGCCUUAUCUAGGGCUUAAAGAGUAGGGCUGUCUUUAUUUUCUCUUCUCAUGAGACCCUGAUGCAUGAAACUCACUGUCAGUUUCAGGUGGCUGGACCCAAUUACAGUCAGAGAUCCCUAGUGUAUACUGUCACUAACUCAUACACUUACUCACUGGUGCUCUUACCAAUAUGUGUAGAGAGCACUUUAAAAUAAAGUAUUAGGCACUGUCUAAGGUGCCGAGGAUACCAAGAUGGAUCAGCCACUGUCUACCCUCCCUCCUUCCCCCAGGCUUCAUACUUCCCAGUCUCUGCCUUCAGCCCCUCUCUCCUUCAGGCAGUGAGUGAUGGGGGCUGUUUCAUCCAGUGUCUGAGCUUGUCCUGGCCAGGUAGACAUGGAGGCUAGGCGACCAGAACCAAAGAUGCAACUAUCCUUUAGGGACUGUCUGGUGAGGAGACCACGGAUUGUGCAACCAGAAAUGGGUCACUGCUGCUGGCGCCCCCAUCCUGCUGGCCUUGCUGCAGCUGUCGAAAGUUAGCUCUAACUAUGGUCUCCGCUAUUGCCAGAACGACCUUUCCUCUCUUACUGCUGCUUUGGGCAACUCACUCCAGCUUCAGAGUCCUAGAUGGGGGUGAUCCCAAGUCCCAUGUCCAUGCCCUGGCUCCCGGGGAGGUGGGAGAAAGUAUCUAUCAGAGGAGAUACUUCUGUAUCUCCUGUAUGAGGAGACUGACUCUCUCCCAGCAAGACUCAUGGUAGCAAUUACCCCAAAACAUCGAGAGGACUAAUGUAGUCCAUUGACUAAUGUCCACUACAUAAGUACUAUAUUUAAAUGAAGUUGUACUUUAUCAAUCACAAGAGCAUCUACAUAUAAAUGAAAAUAGAAAUACUUGUAUUCACGAGGUGUGUUAAUCUAGUUCUGUCUGUGGCAGGGUCAGCAAAGUUUUUGAGAGUGGGGCCAGAUAGUAAAUUUUCACUCAUUGCAUCUCUGCUGUGACUAUUGUUUUCGUAACAAAACAGUAGCCAUGAUAAUAUGUAAAUGAAUGAGUGUGGCUGUGUUCCAAUAAAACUUUAUUUGUGGACACAAAUGUGAAUUUCUUGUAAUUUUCAUGUGUCAUGAAAUAUUGUUCUUUUGAUUUUUUUUUCAACUAUUAAAAAAUAUACAAAUCAUCCUUAGCUUGUGGGUUGCGCAAAAGCAAGCAAUGGGCUAGAUUUGGCCUGUGGGUCAUUUGCCAACUCCUGAUCUGUAAGGAUGAUUGUUAACCUUUUUGGAAGGUCAGUCAGACCUCUUCAAAAAUCUUUUGAAAGGUAUGGAAUGGACCCUCUCUUUAGAGGAAAAAGGUGCUCCAAAAUUGACUCUGGGAUGUUCAUGGAUCUGCUGAAGAGUCAAUAACUCUGGUGUCUAAAUUAUGCUAGCUGAGCCCUUGAGCUUCCUGUUCCAUCAUGAACUUUUCAGAAUCCAGGAGGUCACAACCUUGACUGGAAGCAGCUAUCUACAGACCAUAACAAAUAAUCAGAAGCUUUCUCAACUCCACUGUGAAGCAACUGCUAUGGGACCCAAACCACAGACGUCUCCAGCAGGAUACAAUUAACUGUAACUAGGGAAGGAUUAUUUGUUAGAAAGGAGAAGAAUUGUUCUAACAGUGGCACUGCAUUCAUAGCCCAUAGGUGUCUCUCACACAGGCCAGUGAACUGUGAGGGAUGCACCUCAUCAGUGACACAGCACUACUGGAAACACUGCUUUUGAAGCUGCAGGUAUCUGUUAUGUUAUUUUUUAUGUCUUUUUUAAAUAUAUAAAAUACUUUUCAAAUGUUUAAAAUCCUACUGGAUCUCACCUGGGCCAGUGGUUGUCUUCGACUCAGGUUAGACUGUAGGGCGGAAGUGAACUCAGUCCCUAUUUGAACUUGUUUGGGAGCGAUGAGCUAGGGGCUGGGGAAGGUAACAGUUGCUGUUGGGGCUUUGAGGUUCUCUGAGGGUCACAGACCUGUGACCCUCACGAAGAAGGCAGUUCAGAGCACAGCGCACAGACCCUGGUGCUAACAUGCCACCUUUUUCUGAUCCUGAACUUAGCCACUUAGAUGUGUGACCUUGGUUACAUAACCCUUGUUGUUACCUAACCACUCUGUACCUUAGUUACCUCAUCUAUAAAAUGAGGAUGUUAAAAGUACUUAUUUCAGAGUUCCCGCUGUGGCAUGGUGUGUUAAUGAUCUGGUUUGUCUCUGUGAAUGUACCAGUUCGAUCUUCAGCCCUACACAACGGGUUAAGAAUCUGCAGCUGUGGCUUGGAUUUGAUCCCUGGCCCGGGAACUUCCAUAUGCCAAGGUUAUGGCCAAAAACGGGAAAGUACCUGUUUCAUAGAACUGAUAUAAGAAUUGAGAGGGACGGAGUUCCCAUUGUGACUCAGUGGUUAACAAAUCCGACUAGGAACCAUGAGGUGCGAGUUCAAUCCCUGGCCUUGCUCAGUGGGUUAAGGAUCCAGCGUUGCCGUAAGCUGUGGUGUAGGUUGAAGACGCGGCUCGGAUCCCGCGUUGCUGUGGCUCUGGCAUAGACCAGCAGCUACAGCUC
RNAcentral lists this long non-coding RNA (3113 nucleotides) under Sus scrofa (pig). Its description in RNAcentral is "lncRNA (ENSSSCG00000058109.1)". Lineage: Eukaryota; Metazoa; Chordata; Mammalia; Artiodactyla; Suidae. The record is from RNAcentral.